RNAcentral lists this small nuclear RNA (106 nucleotides) under Castor canadensis (American beaver). The record is from RNAcentral. Lineage: Eukaryota; Metazoa; Chordata; Mammalia; Rodentia; Castoridae.
GUUCACACUUAGGAGUACAUAUACUGAAACCGGAAUGAUACAGAGAAGAUUAGCACGGGCCCCGUUCAAGGAUGAUGUGCAAAUUUGUGAAGUGUUCCAUGUAGAA